Long non-coding RNA from Corvus hawaiiensis (hawaiian crow), 622 nucleotides. RefSeq lists it as uncharacterized. The transcript has 4 exons. Lineage: Eukaryota; Metazoa; Chordata; Aves; Passeriformes; Corvidae. The record is from RefSeq and is a predicted model, not a curated record.
UUCUGCAAACGCCUCUGAGGAAAAAUCUGGAAAUAUGAAUAGCAUUUGGAGAGAGGAAGAUGGGAUACGACUCUUAAGGAUGGUACUUGAAUCAUGCUCUCUUGCAGCUACAAAAUACUGUUACCACAGACUCAGAAGAGAUGCAGAGGAGAUCAGCCCAGGUCAAGAACUGAAACAUGAUGCUGGGGUUUUGAAACAGUUAUGCUGGAGGACCAAACACCCUCACAUCUGGAUUUGCAGCUGUCUUUGGCCAAGUUAGAUGAUGAGAGCAGCAGGACAUUCCCUGAAGAUACUGUGGCCUUUAGAGCGCUCUCACUGGAGCAGAUUUGUUUGAACUUGAGGACGAGGGAAGGACCUUAAUCCCCAACCCACUUCUGCUGCUGAAGAGGCAAGAAAAGAAGUUGAGUUGAGCCCAGCAAAAAUGGGGAAAAUGUACUGUUUUAUAUUUUCGUCUCUGUUUCUCACUACCCAAAUAGCAAUAUGUUUAAAUUCAUCUUGGCCAGGUUUUUCUGUCCUAGAUGGUAUCCAGUAAGUGAUCUUCCUGUCCUUUAUCUUGACCCAUGAACUCUUUCAUCCUAUUUUCUCCCCUUGUCCUCCUGAGGAGAGGGAAAGUGGGGUGAGC